UCCCGCCCGCGUCGUCCCUGGCGCCGCCUCCCCCCUGCCUCCUUUCCCGCUGCGGUCAUGUAGGAAAUUGUAGAUCAUGUGAAGAUGGGACUGUUGAUAUUUGUUCGCAAUCUGCUGCUAGCCCUCUGCCUUUUUCUGGUACUGGGAUUUUUGUAUUAUUCUGCAUGGAAGCUACAUUUACUCCAGUGGGAGGACUCCAAUGUAGAAACUGAGGCUUCAAAGAGGCUCAGUGAUCAAGAGUUUGUCUCUCAUCUGUGGAGCUUAGAGGGCACUACCAAGCUUGAAAAAUAAAUGUCUUUGGCAUUAUUUUCCUUAAUUUUUAUUCAUUUAUGACUUAACCAAGGUUACAUAUUAGGAUUCCAUCACGUUGGGGGAAAGACGGGGAGUCAAGAGUUUUUUAUUAUCAACUGAUUUAUUCAGUAAGCAAUAUGUUCUUAUUAUGGUCCAAACUGUUCUAUGUAAACUGCAUAUAAGAUGAAGGU
This 482-nucleotide long non-coding RNA is filed under the name Bos mutus (wild yak). RNAcentral's name for it is "lncRNA (ENSBMUG00000016295.1)". The record is from RNAcentral. Lineage: Eukaryota; Metazoa; Chordata; Mammalia; Artiodactyla; Bovidae.